UGCAUGUCUAAGUACAUGCCGUAUUAAGGCGAAACCGCGAAUGGCUCAUUAAAUCGGUUAUGGUUCCUUGGAUCGUACAUUACUACUUGGAUAACUGUGGCAAUUCUAGAGCUAAUACAUGCAGCAGAGCUCCGACCUUCGGGGACGAGCGCUUUUAUUAGACCAAAACCAAUCGGACCUCGUGUCCGUCCUUUGUGGGGACUCUGUAUAACUUUGGGCUGAUCGCGACGGGCCCGUCCCGGCGACGUCCUUCAAGUGUCUGCCUUAUCAACUUUCGAUGGUAGGUUUACACAACUACCAUGGUCGUAACGGUAAACGGGGAAUCUGGGUUCGAUUCCGGAGAGGGUGCCUGUAAACGGCUUCCCACAUCCAAGGAAGGCAGCAGGCGCGCAAUUACCCACUCCCAGAACGGGGAGGUAGGGCGAAAAAUACCAAUCCGGGACUCUUUUGAGACCCCGNAAUUGGAAUGAGUCCGCUCUAAAUCCUUUAACGAGGAUCCAUUGGAGGGCAAGUCUGGUGCCAGACCGCCCGGUAAUUCCAGCUCCAAUAGCGUAUAUUAAAGUUGUUGCGGUUAAAAAGCUCGUAGUUGGAUCUCAGUUCCAGACGGGUGGUCCGCCAACCGGUGGUUACUGCCUGUUCUGAACAGCCAGCCGGUUUCUCUUGAUGAUCUUCACCGGUUGUCUUGGGUGACCGGCAAGUUUACUUUGAAAAAAUUAGAGUGCUCAAAGCAGGCGUGACGCCUGAAUAAUGGUGCAUGGAAUAAUGGAAUAGGACCUCGGUUCUAUUUUGUUGGUUUUCGGAACACGAGGUAAUGAUUAAGAGGGACAGACGGGGGCAUUCGUAUUGCGACGCUAGAGGUAAA
RNAcentral lists this ribosomal RNA (862 nucleotides) under Anyphaena californica. RNAcentral's name for it is "SSU rRNA". It matches the Rfam family "Eukaryotic small subunit ribosomal RNA", at positions 52 to 915 of the family's 1831-position model. Lineage: Eukaryota; Metazoa; Arthropoda; Arachnida; Araneae; Anyphaenidae. The record is from RNAcentral.